This 468-nucleotide ribosomal RNA is filed under the name uncultured bacterium. RNAcentral describes it as "partial 16S ribosomal RNA". It matches the Rfam family "Bacterial small subunit ribosomal RNA", at positions 28 to 507 of the family's 1533-position model. The record is from RNAcentral.
GACGAACGCUGGCGGCGUGCUUAACACAUGCAAGUCGAACGGAAAGGCCCUGCUUUUGUGGGGUGCUCGAGUGGCGAACGGGUGAGUAACGCGUGAGUAACCUGCCCUUGACUUUGGGAUAACUUCAGGAAACUGGGGCUAAUACCGGAUAGGAGCUCCUGCUGCAUGGUGGGGGUUGGAAAGUUUCGGCGGUUGGGGAUGGACUCGCGGCUUAUCAGCUUGUUGGUGGGGUAGUGGCUUACCAAGGCUUUGACGGGUAGCCGGCCUGAGAGGGUGACCGGCCACAUUGGGACUGAGGUACGGCCCAGACUCCUACGGGAGGCAGCAGUGGGGAAUAUUGCGCAAUGGGCGGAAGCCUGAUGCAGCAACGCCGCGUGCGGGAUGACGGCCUUCGGGUUGUAAACCGCUUUCGCCUGUGACGAAGCGUGAGUGACGGUAAUGGGUAAAGAAGCACCGGCUAACUACGUG